Molecule: unclassified non-coding RNA, 335 nt
Filed under: soil metagenome
Description: partial contains 5.8S ribosomal RNA, internal transcribed spacer 2, and large subunit ribosomal RNA
Rfam family: 5.8S ribosomal RNA (bases 1-120)
Source: RNAcentral
GAUGAAGAACGCAGCGAAAUGCGAUAAGUAGUGUGAAUUGCAGAAUUCAGUGAAUCAUCGAAUCUUUGAACGCACAUUGCGCCCCUUGGUACUCCAUGGGGCAUGCCUGUUCGAGCGUCAUUUAUACCCUCAAGCUCAGCUUGGUGUUGGGCGUCUGUCCCGCUUCGUGCGCGGACUCGCCUCAAAUGCAUUGGCAGCGGUCUUGCCAGCUUCUCGCGCAGCACAUUGCGCUUCUAGAGGCUUUGGCGGAUCGGCGUCCAUCAAGUACACCCACAGUUUGACCUCGGAUCAGGUAGGGAUACCCGCUGAACUUAAGCAUAUCAAUAAGCGGAGGA